GAUGAACGCUGGCGGCGUGCUUAACACAUGCAAGUCGAACGGAAAGGCCCAAGCUUGCUUGGGUACUCGAGUGGCGAACGGGUGAGUAACACGUGGGUGAUCUGCCCUGCACUUCGGGAUAAGCCUGGGAAACUGGGUCUAAUACCGGAUAGGACGAUGGUUUGGAUGCCAUUGUGGAAAGUUUUUUCGGUGUGGGAUGAGCUCGCGGCCUAUCAGCUUGUUGGUGGGGUAAUGGCCUACCAAGGCGUCGACGGGUAGCCGGCCUGAGAGGGUGUACGGCCACAUUGGGACUGAGAUACGGCCCAGACUCCUACGGGAGGCAGCAGUGGGGAAUAUUGCACAAUGGGCGCAAGCCUGAUGCAGUGACGCCGCGUGGGGGAUGACGGCCUUCGGGUUGUAAACUCCUUUCGCUAGGGACGAAGCGUUUUUGUGACGGUACCUGGAGAAGAAGCACCGGCUAACUACGUG
Molecule: ribosomal RNA, 468 nt
Filed under: uncultured bacterium
Lineage: Bacteria
Description: partial 16S ribosomal RNA
Rfam family: Bacterial small subunit ribosomal RNA
Source: RNAcentral